AGAGUUUGAUCAUGGCUCAGAUUGAACGCUGGCGGCAGGCCUAACACAUGCAAGUCGAGCGGUAGCACAGAGAGCUUGCUCUCGGGUGACGAGCGGCGGACGGGUGAGUAAUGUCUGGGAAACUGCCUGAUGGAGGGGGAUAACUACUGGAAACGGUAGCUAAUACCGCAUAAUGUCGCAAGACCAAAGUGGGGGACCUUCGGGCCUCAUGCCAUCAGAUGUGCCCAGAUGGGAUUAGCUAGUAGGUGGGGUAAUGGCUCACCUAGGCGACGAUCCCUAGCUGGUCUGAGAGGAUGACCAGCCACACUGGAACUGAGACACGGUCCAGACUCCUACGGGAGGCAGCAGUGGGGAAUAUUGCACAAUGGGCGCAAGCCUGAUGCAGCCAUGCCGCGUGUGUGAAGAAGGCCUUCGGGUUGUAAAGCACUUUCAGCGGGGAGGAAGGCGGUGAGGUUAAUAACCUCAGCGAUUGACGUUACCCGCAGAAGAAGCACCGGCUAACUCCGUGCCAGCAGCCGCGGUAAUACGGAGGGUGCAAGCGUUAAUCGGAAUUACUGGGCGUAAAGCGCACGCAGGCGGUCUGUCAAGUCGGAUGUGAAAUCCCCGGGCUCAACCUGGGAACUGCAUUCGAAACUGGCAGGCUAGAGUCUUGUAGAGGGGGGUAGAAUUCCAGGUGUAGCGGUGAAAUGCGUAGAGAUCUGGAGGAAUACCGGUGGCGAAGGCGGCCCCCUGGACAAAGACUGACGCUCAGGUGCGAAAGCGUGGGGAGCAAACAGGAUUAGAUACCCUGGUAGUCCACGCCGUAAACGAUGUCGAUUUGGAGGUUGUGCCCUUGAGGCGUGGCUUCCGGAGCUAACGCGUUAAAUCGACCGCCUGGGGAGUACGGCCGCAAGGUUAAAACUCAAAUGAAUUGACGGGGGCCCGCACAAGCGGUGGAGCAUGUGGUUUAAUUCGAUGCAACGCGAAGAACCUUACCUGGUCUUGACAUCCACAGAACUUUCCAGAGAUGGAUUGGUGCCUUCGGGAACUGUGAGACAGGUGCUGCAUGGCUGUCGUCAGCUCGUGUUGUGAAAUGUUGGGUUAAGUCCCGCAACGAGCGCAACCCUUAUCCUUUGUUGCCAGCGGU
This 1126-nucleotide ribosomal RNA is filed under the name Klebsiella pneumoniae. RNAcentral describes it as "bacterial SSU rRNA". It matches the Rfam family "Bacterial small subunit ribosomal RNA", at positions 8 to 1125 of the family's 1533-position model. The record is from RNAcentral. Lineage: Bacteria; Pseudomonadati; Pseudomonadota; Gammaproteobacteria; Enterobacterales; Enterobacteriaceae.